This is a small nucleolar RNA of Abrus precatorius (Indian licorice), 85 nucleotides long. RefSeq annotates it as small nucleolar RNA snoR14. Lineage: Eukaryota; Viridiplantae; Streptophyta; Magnoliopsida; Fabales; Fabaceae. The transcript has a single exon. The record is from RefSeq and is a predicted model, not a curated record.
GCGAAGUGACGAUAGCAAUUCAUUUGCCUGUGAAUCCGCUGAAACUAGCGUGAUGUAUUCCUCAAUCCCGACAGGUUCUGAUCGC